CAGCCGCCGCGGUAAUACAGAGGGUGCAAGCGUUAAUCGGAAUUACUGGGCGUAAAGCGCGCGUAGGUGGUUUGUUAAGUUGGAUGUGAAAGCCCCGGGCUCAACCUGGGAACUGCAUCCAAAACUGGCAAGCUAGAGUACGGUAGAGGGUGGUGGAAUUUCCUGUGUAGCGGUGAAAUGCGUAGAUAUAGGAAGGAACACCAGUGGCGAAGGCGACCACCUGGACUGAUACUGACACUGAGGUGCGAAAGCGUGGGGAGCAAACAGGAUUAGAUACCCCGGUAGUCCCUGUCUCUUACAC
RNAcentral lists this ribosomal RNA (301 nucleotides) under uncultured bacterium. RNAcentral's name for it is "partial 16S ribosomal RNA". It matches the Rfam family "Bacterial small subunit ribosomal RNA", at positions 509 to 809 of the family's 1533-position model. The record is from RNAcentral.